CUACGGGGGGCUGCAGUAAGGAAUAUUGCGCAAUGGAGGCAACUCUGACGCAGCCAUGCCGCGUGCAGGAAGAAGGCCUUAUGGGUCGUAAACUGCUUUUAUUUAGGAAUAAACCCCCGAACGUGUUCGGGGCUGAAGGUACUAAACGAAUAAGCACCGGCUAACUCCGUGGCCAGCAGCCGCGGUAAUACGGAGGGUGCAAGCGUUAUCCGGAUUUAUUGGGUUUAAAGGGUGCGCAGGCGGGCUAUUAAGUCAGUGGUGAAAUCCCGGGGCUCAACUCCGGAACUGACAUUGAUACUGAUAGUCUUGAGUUUGGUUGAAGUGGGCGGAAUGUAGCAUGUAGCGGUGAAAUGCAUAGAUAUGCUACAGAACACCAAUCGCGAAGGCAGCUCACUAAGCCAAAACUGACGCUCAUGCACGAAAGCGUGGGGAUCAAACAGGAUUAGAUACCCGUGUAGUC
RNAcentral lists this ribosomal RNA (460 nucleotides) under uncultured bacterium. RNAcentral describes it as "partial 16S ribosomal RNA". It matches the Rfam family "Bacterial small subunit ribosomal RNA", at positions 339 to 795 of the family's 1533-position model. The record is from RNAcentral.